AACUUUGCGCAGUGGCAGUAUCGUAGCCAAUGAGGUUUAUCCGAGGCACGAUUAUUGCUAAUUGAAAAGUACUUCUCCCUCUUUUCUCUCUCUCAACAAACAAAAUUUUUAAAGAAUUAUUUUU
This 124-nucleotide small nuclear RNA is filed under the name Tupaia belangeri chinensis (Chinese tree shrew). Its description in RNAcentral is "Tupaia chinensis (Chinese tree shrew) U4 spliceosomal RNA". It matches the Rfam family "U4 spliceosomal RNA". From Rfam's summary of the family: U4 small nuclear RNA (U4 snRNA) is a component of the major U2-dependent spliceosome. Lineage: Eukaryota; Metazoa; Chordata; Mammalia; Scandentia; Tupaiidae. The record is from Rfam by way of RNAcentral.